UUUUGAGAGUUUGAUCCUGGCUCAGGAUGAACGCUGGCGGCGUGGCUAAGGCAUGCAAGUCGUAAGCUAGUAGCAAUACUGGCUUGGCAAACGGGAGCGGAACACAUUGGUAAUCUGCCCCGAGGACGAGAAUAAUCCUGCGAAAGUGGGAAUAAUGCUCGAUAAUAGUGAGGGGACAAAAGUCAUUCUCACUUAAAGCAGCAAUGCACCUCGGGAGGAACCUAUGUCCUAUCAGCUAGUUGGUGAGGUAAUGGCCCACCAAGGCUAUGACGGGUACCGGGUGUGAGAGCAUGACCCGGCUCACUGGGACUGAGACACUGCCCAGACUCCUACGGGAGGCUGCAGUCACGAAUCUUCCUCAAUGGCCGAAAGGCUGAAGGAGCGACGCCGCGUGUAUGAAGAAGCCCUUCGGGGUGUAAAGUGCUUUUAUCUGGGAAGAAUCCAUGACGGUACCAGAUGAAUAAGGAGCUGCUAACCUCGUGCCAGCAGCAGCGGUAAUACGAGGGCUCCAAGCGUUAUCCGGAUUUAUUGGGCGUAAAGGGUCUGUAGGCGGUUUUUCGCAUCUCCUGUUAAAGCCCGAGGCUUAACCUCGGAACAGCGGGAGAGAUGGAUAAACUAGAGGCCGGUAGAGGCGAGCGGAAUUGCUGGUGUAGGGGUUAAAUCCGUUAAUAUCAGCAAGAACACCAGAUGCGAAGGCAGCUCGCUGGAACGGUCCUGACGCUAAAAGACGAAAGCGUGGGUAGCGAAUGGGAUUAGAUACCCCAGUAGUCCACGCCGUAAACGAUGGAUGCUAAGCAUUGGCAGUAUCGACCCUGCCAGUGCUGUUUAAUUAAGCUAACGCCUUAAGCAUCCCGCCUGGGGAGUACGGUCGCAAGACUAAAACUCAAAGGAAUAGACGGGGACCCGCACAAGCGGUGGAGCAUGUGGUUUAAUUCGACGAUAAGCGAGGAACCUCACCAAGGUUUGACAUCUAGCUGCAGACUCCUGGAAACAGGAGAGCCUUCGAGGGUGCUAGACAGGUGCUGCAUGGUUGUCGUCAGCUCGUGUCGUGAGAUGUACCGUUAAGUCGGGAAACGAGCGCAACCCCUAUCCUAUGUUUCAAGUGUCAUAGGAAACUGCCCGCUUUAAGUGGGAGGAAGGUGGGGAUGACGUCAAAUCAGCAUGGUCCUUACACCUUGGGCGACACACGUGCUACAAUGGAAAGCACAGAGGGACGCCAAGUGGUAACACGGAGCAAAUCCCUAAAACUUUUCUCAGUUCGGAUUGAGGUCUGCAACUCGACCUCAUGAAGCUGGAAUCGCUAGUAAACGCGUAUCAGCCAUGACGCGUUGAAUACGUUCUCGGGUCUUGUACUCACCG
This 1359-nucleotide ribosomal RNA is filed under the name Parcubacteria group bacterium ADurb.Bin316. RNAcentral describes it as "bacterial SSU rRNA". It matches the Rfam family "Bacterial small subunit ribosomal RNA". The record is from RNAcentral.